This 497-nucleotide ribosomal RNA is filed under the name uncultured bacterium. RNAcentral describes it as "partial 16S ribosomal RNA". It matches the Rfam family "Bacterial small subunit ribosomal RNA", at positions 28 to 507 of the family's 1533-position model. The record is from RNAcentral.
GAUGAACGCUGGCGGCGUGCCUAAUACAUGCAAGUCGAGCGAACGGACGCUAAGUUUGCUUCUUUGUUGUUAGCGGAGCACGGGUGAGUCACACGUGGAUAACGUACUUAUAAGACUGGGAUAUUUUGGGGAAUCCGUAGCUAACACCGGAUAAUAUCUUGAUCCGUGUGGUUCAAUAGUGAAAGACGGUCUUUCUGUCAGUUCUAGAUGGAUCUCCGCUGCAUUAGCUGGUUGGUAGGUACACGGUUUAUCACGGCAACGAUGCAUAGCCGACCUGUGAGAGGGAUCGGCGGCACGAGAGCGGGGACACCGUCCAGACUCCUACGAGAGGCAGCAGUAGGGAAUCGUCCGCAGUAGGCGAAAGCCUGACAGAGCGACGCCAAGUGUGAGAUGGAGAUCUUCGGAUCGUAAAACUCGGUUAUUAGGGGAGAACAUAUGUGUAAGUAACUGUGCACAGCGUGACGGUACCGGGUCAGAAAGCACCGGCUAACUACGUG